Molecule: RNA transcript, 1566 nt
Organism: Sycon ciliatum
Lineage: Eukaryota; Metazoa; Porifera; Calcarea; Leucosolenida; Sycettidae
Exons: 5
Source: RefSeq, a predicted model, not a curated record
CUGAACCAUCGGACCUUAUUUGUCAGCUUGGAUCACGUGAUCCAUCCAGCUGCCGCGUGCGGCAAACAGCCCAAAUAGCGCUAACUCUGGCCUGCGAGCGUUUGCUGCGACUAGCGCGCUAGCGCUCGUGACAUACACAAACGCGCUAGCCAGAAUGCUUUGACUUUGAUGGCUUUCAAGUUUCAGCUUCUAUUUUUUGAAAAGUAGCGCGCUCAGACCAGCUCGCUCACUCUUUUCCUCUUCCAUUUUUUAGGGCAAUUGUUUUGUUUGAUAGACGAAGCUUAGGGUCUCUUUGGGUUUGCAACCCUUACCCUCCUGGAAAAAAUCAUAGUUGUGCUAGACUGCGACACUUCAGACCAGGUACUAUUAGAGCCGCUAAUGGACGACGAGCUAUUUUCCGCUAUCCGGAGCUCAAGCAUUUGAGCCGCUAAAUGGACGAGACUCCUGGGGUAAAGGAUGCAGAGAAUGAGGAGAAAACACUCGUAUGGAGCAGGGAGUAGGUAUUGUACUACUUCCUGGUAUGGAGCACUGAGAAGCGCAUUAGGCGAUUUGAUCGCAGGACAAGAGAGGAGCUGAUGGACGAUCUCUCCCGUGUCCCUCUUGGUUCGGAGCAGCGCCGAGUGCUGACGUUGGGACUUGGAGUUCUAGCAUCCGUAGCUGCCUCAGGGGGUGCCACUUCUCCCAUCAGCGUCGACUAGUCCGCCGAUCUCACUCAGCUCUGCUCUCCGAGCAUGCUGCUUCCAACACGACUUCCCGAAAGAAAAUGUGCUCGCGCAUUAGAAGGAGGUGAAAGAUGCACCUGCAGGAGAAUACAUGCUUAAGAGAAGGCAGAAACAUGCCCGGAUCCACCAGAACUAGUGCUGGCAAGUCAACAGAGGCAAGUACUGAUAAUGUUCCAGAUUGUGGUAGGAUCACAUAAGCAAAAUUGACACUGGGAGGCACGGCGGUGGGUCAGCUCAUGGCCAGCGCCAGCUCCAGUGGAUAUCACGUGCAUCCAGUUCUAGUACUAUAGUAUGACUGCUACAAAGUAGUGCGGCCCAAAUAGAACUCGGGUCAGGUGCCGAAGAACUGGGGGGUGGGGGGGGGGCAUGUAUCAAUGAAUGGUAAUAACUCCGGAAAUCAUGCUGGUGUAUCGAGGGCGUGGGCCAAUGAAGUGCUGGAUUGAUGGUGGACGACUGUACUGCAAUCUUGGCUGGUCCCACUAUCGCAGAGACAGCACUUCCUGGUGCAACCACCCUAUCCUGCAAUCUAUAUAAUAAUUAUUAUAAGAGAUUUGUGUGAACGAUUUUAGCAUGAUGCAAGUCAGCUUAUUGUGCUGGGGGCCUGGCUACAUGUCACUAUAGCUUUUUAUAGACUCGAUCACCGCAUUACGCUGCCUUGCGUUGACUUGAUUGAGCACUCUUUUUGGUUAGUGUCAAAGGUAUAUGUAAUAUGUAUCUGCCUUCGUGCAAAGCUCUCUUUGUGCGUGUCUUGCAGAUAGCUCGCUGACUUUGAUGCUUUGAGCCAUUUUCAAAUUGCUUUUUUUGUUCAUUUCAUAUAGACCGUAUUGCCAUUUGUUUAACCUCC